UCAGAAUCACUCUAUGUUGCACUGCGGAGUCUGAUUGGCUAUGUGUAUCCGUCGCUCACAGUUAGGCUCAAUGGACUCUACAAAAGGGAGGAACUCUGGGUCUUGGCCUGAGAAACCGCCUCCAAAAGAAAUGCCACGGCACGAUUGGUGAAAAUAAUGCUGUAGAGACAAGGAGCGUAUCAGCGGCAAGGGAAGGCGGGCACUUCAACUAAGAGUGCCCAAUCACAGAGGUGAGUUGUUUCUAUAAAAGGUUGAGCCUAGCGUUCUUCCAUCCUUUCGUGGUGUGGGCGAGUUGGUUCCGUUCCUGUUGUGAUUUGUUACAAUUCCGGGAGUAGCUGGGCUUCGUGUGGAACUUUGGCGGUAGCCUGAUCCCUGCAGACUAGCCAGACCCCCGGAUCCAGUCUUGGCCUGAACUCAUCUUGGCCCUGAGAGUUUAAACGUACCUUCCCGAAUUUCAGACCUUCAGCGCCCUACAGGGUUGUCGUGACCCGGCAGCAGACCUCGAAUCUGAAUUAAUCUCAACGAGGAGGCCCAGCGGACAGGAAAACUUGAUGGUAAGGCAGCUACUGUGUGUGUCUGAGCUGCUUAACAAUAAAGCAAAGGCAGUGAGUUGA
This is a long non-coding RNA of Nycticebus coucang (slow loris), 614 nucleotides long. RefSeq lists it as uncharacterized. NCBI's taxonomy places the organism in Eukaryota, Metazoa, Chordata, Mammalia, Primates, Lorisidae. The record is from RefSeq and is a predicted model, not a curated record. The transcript is spliced from 2 exons.